GUGCCUCUUUGGCAGCACAUACACUAAAAUUGGAAUGAUACAGAGAAGAUUUGCAUGGCUCCUGUGCAGGGAUGACAUACAAAUUCCUGAUUUUUUUUUUUUUUUU
Acomys russatus (golden spiny mouse) is the source of this 106-nucleotide small nuclear RNA. NCBI's taxonomy places the organism in Eukaryota, Metazoa, Chordata, Mammalia, Rodentia, Muridae. The record is from RefSeq and is a predicted model, not a curated record.